CCCUUAGAUGUUCUGGGCCGCACGCGCGCUACACUGACAGAGCCAACGAGUUCUUCACCUUGGCCGGAAGGUCUGGGUAAUCUUGUUAAACUCUGUCGUGCUGGGGAUAGAGCAUUGCAAUUAUUGCUCUUCAACGAGGAAUGCCUAGUAAGCGCGUGUCAUCAGCACGCGUUGAUUACGUCCCUGCCCUUUGUACACACCGCCCGUCGCUACUACCGAUUGAAUGGCUCAGUGAGGCCUUCGGACUGGCUCAGGGAGGUUGGCAACGACCACCCCGAGCCGGAAAGUUUGUCAAACUCGGUCAUUUAGAGGAAGUAAAAGUCGUAACA
This 329-nucleotide ribosomal RNA is filed under the name uncultured eukaryote. Its description in RNAcentral is "partial 18S ribosomal RNA". It matches the Rfam family "Eukaryotic small subunit ribosomal RNA", at positions 1470 to 1796 of the family's 1831-position model. The record is from RNAcentral.